This 484-nucleotide ribosomal RNA is filed under the name uncultured bacterium. RNAcentral describes it as "partial 16S ribosomal RNA". It matches the Rfam family "Bacterial small subunit ribosomal RNA", at positions 30 to 507 of the family's 1533-position model. The record is from RNAcentral.
AUUGAACGCUGGCGGCAGGCCUAACACAUGCAAGUCGAGCGGAUGAAGGGAGCUUGCUCCUGGAUUCAGCGGCGGACGGGUGAGUAAUGCCUAGGAAUCUGCCUGGUAGUGGGGGAUAACGUCCGGAAACGGGCGCUAAUACCGCAUACGUCCUGAGGGAGAAAGUGGGGGAUCUUCGGACCUCACGCUAUCAGAUGAGCCUAGGUCGGAUUAGCUAGUUGGUGGGGUAAAGGCCUACCAAGGCGACGAUCCGUAACUGGUCUGAGAGGAUGAUCAGUCACACUGGAACUGAGACACGGUCCAGACUCCUACGGGAGGCAGCAGUGGGGAAUAUUGGACAAUGGGCGAAAGCCUGAUCCAGACAUGCCGCGUGUGUGAAGAAGGUCUUCGGAUUGUAAAGCACUUUAAGUUGGGAGGAAGGGCAGUAAGUUAAUACCUUGCUGUUUUGACGUUACCAACAGAAUAAGCACAGGCUAACUUCGUG